Molecule: ribosomal RNA, 253 nt
Filed under: uncultured bacterium
Lineage: Bacteria
Description: partial 16S ribosomal RNA
Rfam family: Bacterial small subunit ribosomal RNA
Source: RNAcentral
UACAUGGGGUGCAAACGUUGCUCGGAAUUAUUGGGCGUAAAGCGCGCGUAGGCGGUUACUCAAGUCGGAUGUGAAAGCCCUCGGCUUAACUGAGGAAGUGCACCCGAAACUGAGUAGCUAGAGUACCAAAGAGGGUCGCGGAAUUCCCGGUGUAGAGGUGAAAUUCGUAGAUAUCGGGAGGAACACCGGUGGCGAAGGCGGCGACCUGGGUGGAUACUGACGCUGAGGCGCGAAAGCGUGGGGAGCAAACGGG